RNAcentral lists this ribosomal RNA (609 nucleotides) under Malassezia furfur. RNAcentral describes it as "LSU rRNA". It matches the Rfam family "Eukaryotic large subunit ribosomal RNA", at positions 36 to 632 of the family's 3401-position model. Lineage: Eukaryota; Fungi; Basidiomycota; Malasseziomycetes; Malasseziales; Malasseziaceae. The record is from RNAcentral.
AUGCAUAUCAAUAAGCGGAGGAAAAGAAACUAACAAGGAUUCCCCUAGUAACGGCGAGUGAAGAGGGAAGAGCUCAAAUUUGAAAGCUGGUACCUUCGGUAUCCGCGUUGUAACCUCGAGACACGUUUUCCGUGCGGCGCUAUGGACAAGUUCCUUGGAACAGGACAUCGUAGAGGGUGAAAAUCCCGUACUUGCCAUGGAUGUACCGUGCUUUGCGAUACGUGCUCUAAGAGUCGAGUUGUUUGGGAUUGCAGCUCAAAAUGGGUGGUAGACUCCAUCUAAAGCUAAAUAUCGGGGAGAGACCGAUAGCGAACAAGUACCGUGAGGGAAAGAUGAAAAGCACUUUGGAAAGAGAGUUAAAAGUACGUGAAAUUGUCGAAAGGGAAGCGCUUGAAGUCAGCCAUGCCGCUCAGGACUCAGCCUGGCUUUUGCUUGGUGUAUUUCCUGGGUAGCAAGUCAGCAUUGGUUUGGAUCGUCGGAGAAGCAUAGUCGGAAUGUGGCGCCCUCGGGCGUGUUAUAGCCUUCUAUUGGAUACGACGAUCUAGACCAAGGAACGCAGCGCGCCUUAUGGCGGGUCUUCGGACACCUUCGCGCUUAGGAUGCUGGCGU